RNAcentral lists this ribosomal RNA (386 nucleotides) under uncultured bacterium. RNAcentral's name for it is "bacterial SSU rRNA". It matches the Rfam family "Bacterial small subunit ribosomal RNA", at positions 30 to 414 of the family's 1533-position model. The record is from RNAcentral.
AUUGAACGCUGGCGGCAUGCCUUACACAUGCAAGUCGAACGGCAGCACGGGAGCAAUCCUGGUGGCGAGUGGCGAACGGGUGAGUAAUAUAUCGGAACGUGCCCAGUCGUGGGGGAUAACGUAGCGAAAGCUACGCUAAUACCGCAUACGAUCUAUGGAUGAAAGCGGGGGAUCGCAAGACCUCGCGCGAUUGGAGCGGCCGAUAUCAGAUUAGGUAGUUGGUGAGGUAAAGGCUCACCAAGCCGACGAUCUGUAGCUGGUCUGAGAGGACGACCAGCCACACUGGGACUGAGACACGGCCCAGACUCCUACGGGAGGCAGCAGUGGGGAAUUUUUGGACAAUGGGCGCAAGCCUGAUCCAGCAAAUGCCGCGUGCAGGAUGAAGG